Molecule: non-coding RNA, 66 nt
Filed under: Collimonas arenae
Lineage: Bacteria; Pseudomonadati; Pseudomonadota; Betaproteobacteria; Burkholderiales; Oxalobacteraceae
Description: Fluoride sequence
Rfam family: Fluoride riboswitch aptamer (crcB RNA motif)
Source: RNAcentral
UGAGAAGCGGGAGAUGGCAUGCCUCCCCGAACCGCCGCGCAAGCAGCUGAUGAUGCCUACAAGUUC